AAAUCAAAAUCCGACCCCAGCAUUAGCCACGGGGUAGGUGUUCCUCUUGAGGAAGGCAGGAAUUCUUCUCCCACCUGUUGGG
This 82-nucleotide long non-coding RNA is filed under the name Propithecus coquereli (Coquerel's sifaka). RNAcentral's name for it is "X-chromosome inactivation exon 1 (ENSPCOG00000006702.1)". It matches the Rfam family "X-chromosome inactivation gene exon 1". From Rfam's summary of the family: Xist is an RNA gene on the X chromosome of the placental mammals that acts as major effector of the X inactivation process. The Xist RNA, a large (17 kb in humans) transcript, is expressed on the inactive chromosome and not on the active one. Lineage: Eukaryota; Metazoa; Chordata; Mammalia; Primates; Indriidae. The record is from RNAcentral.